AACAGGUGAACGAUUCUGGGGUGAGAAAGUCUGCAGAAAAGUGCGUUGCUAAUGCCUCUGAUGAAGAGAAUGAAAGUGUAGGUUAUUCAUUACGACCAAAUCCCAGUCAUUCAGUAAUAGCUCGAGUUUCAUAUAGUGUGUAUGAGGGCAUUCAUGGGUCAAAUAGAGGCUGCAGACUUGGAUUGGUCGAGUGUUUGGUUGGGUACUGAAUUGAGGUUUAGAAGCUGACUACUCUCAACUGAUGGGUAUCCUUCCAAAGGGAGCGAGGUUGAUGCAGCUAUUAUACGUAUAAUGAAUACAAGGAAAGUGCUAAGCCACGCCUCUGAGAACCUUUUGGUCUUUGAUACUGAAAUCGAAGCAACUAGGACUUGAAGAAUGCAAAACCAAUGGUUGAUUGGAUAGCGUGGCAGAACCACAAUAUGAUUUCAACUCGAUUAUCGAUGAGUGGUAAUGGAAUUGGACUUUAAUCAUGAAGCAGGCUCCAUGGACACCGUGGAUGUCUUGAUCCAGAAGUGUUUCAGGUAUUAUUAUUCUUGAUGCACCACCUUGAUCUCGUUAUGCUUUUCUCUCUUCCUACUCUAUUAUUAUAGCUAAUUUUCUUGUGAGCAAGGAACCCCACUUUGUCCAAUUUUGCAAGACUUCAGGCGUAGGAAGAGAGUGUCAGCCACUAUCAAACAAGGACUUAAUCAAGAUUUUAAGUGAAAAAGCCGAGUAACUUUUCCCCUUUAAUGCAUUAAUUCCUUAUUUUUUUGUUGCUGUUCUUUCGAUCCUUGAUGAGCCUAACUGGGCACUCCGGUAUUGUCUGAUCUGUAGGAGGCCAGGGGCAUUCUAUCUUCUUCUUGUAUGAUUUUUUUUCCAAAAAAGCUUGAAAAACAUAAAUUACUAAAUUAGAGUAACAGAUGACGUUCCUUGAAAGUUUGCAUAAGUGGAUUUCAGAGAGAAAUUUAGUUUUGCGUCUUUGCUACUAAUAAGGGCUUCUAAAUUAUUGCACCAUGCCGCUGAUUGAUGUAGUUUCCUUUUAAAAUUGAACAAUCAAUGAUUGAAUACAGACCAAUCUGAAAUAAACAAAUUUCAUCCACCUUUUAACCUAAAAUCCUUGAACAAAUGCUAGUGUCAAAGAUUCUUGAAAAACAAGUUAUUUAUUUCUCUUUGCUCUUUCUGAUGAUUUCGUUGUGAAUGUAUUUGUGCUUCACUAUCAGAAUGAAAGUUUAUUCAAACAAUUACUUUGUUUUACUUUUCAGGUAACAUACCGAAGUAUCCAAAACUCUGUACUAACCUUGAGCCCUUUGUUUCCUGUGUUUAAAUUUAAUGGUAAACAAAGUCCCUCAUAAAACUUGAGCUUUGAGGACAAUGUGCUUCAGAAUUCAUGGCUUGACCAGAUAGUGAUUUUAUUCUUGUUAUUCUUUGCAUGCCUUCACUGCCACAAAUUUGUUGAUGUUAAUAUUCUUGUGUGAUUCUGUUGCAGGGGGAUAAUGUGGCACUUUUGUCUGCUUUUGCUGAAAUGGACUUGGGUUGCUGGGGACCUUCCUGAGCAGGCUAUGGGUGUAAAAAAUGUAGUCUUCCGUGCUUCUACACCAGCAAGGCUAUCCCUUAACCAUAAAAUCUAUACCAGACCAAAGAGCAAAAGGUAUGAAGGCCGUCCAGGAAAAAUCAAACUCAACUAGAAGGAAGUAUCACACUUAAAUCCUGGACACUGGUAUUUAUGCGGGUUCUAAAUCUUUCUCGGGGUCUCCAGUACCAUUUGCCUUGGCAAUAAAAACAUCUUUUCCCUAUUUAAUUUGGCAAUAAAAAAAUAUCUUUUCCCUAUUUAAUUUGUUUAUAAAUAUCUUAUGCUUUACAGGUCUUUCAUCAAUAAUGGAUGCUCGCAAUGUGUAUAUGAUGCUGCCUUUUGCGGAAUCUGUUCUUCAAGGGGCAGCAACAAAUGCAGAGUGGGUCUAUGACACACCUUUUCUCUCUGAUGUCGAAGCCAAACCGAGGCAGCUCCUCAUUAAGCUAGGGUAUGAAGGUAUGUGCCUCCAAAGAUGGGAAAGCUAUUAACUUAUUAUAGAUACUGCUGCUGGCAUGCUUGGGAAGUAAGAUCCUCCUGUUCAGCCUGACAGCCUAUUUCCAGUUUUCUGGGUAACAAAAGGGAUAACAACAGGAUUGGUGCAUCCACUCAUUGAUAGCGGAAAGCUUAAGCUCGAAGAAAUUGUUGCAAUAAUUUGGCCAGUGUUCGGAGCGAAUGUAAAAGACAACAUAAAGGUUUGCGGUGGAACUCCUAUACUCUUUACUUCAGUUUCAAAAAUGGUGCAAGAAUAUAUUUUCCUCAAGUUCCCAUUUUCUUGUGUUUUCGGUGUUAGGCACAUCAUGUGCUCAACCACACCUCUGGUCUGCACAAUGCAUUAGCUAACAUUAUGUCAGAAAUUCCUCCAUUACUGUGCGAAAGGGACGGAUGUUUUUAUCCUUUGAUGUGGCUUUGCGGUGGGUUUAUCGAGGUAUUUAUAAAUUGUUCAUUAUUAACUGUAUAAAGUAUUAGGGGUGCAAGAAGCAUAGAUCACGGGGAUUAGAUGUAGUUUUGAUCUGUUUAACAAAAGGCGUGGGUCUAGUAUCAUCACAGCACACAAUUAAAGAUCAAAACGAUCUCAUGGCAGCUUAAACACAUUCUGUUGUUUAUCUCCAUCUACUGGCACCGAGAAGAUGCUACAGAAACAAAAUAACAACCCAGUUCUUUGCUCUGACUGACCUCUUUCCUUUUGAUCCACCCUUCUCUCCUUCUCUUUGUACUUUCUUUUUUUUUUAAAUGUGGACAUUUCCCUGCAUCUAAUUACGGGAUCACAAAUAUACAGCAUGCAUCUUGUAUAAAAUUACAUGAUGUUUUGGAAGAAAAGCUCAUACAUCCACUCAACAUUGAAGGUGAGCUGUAUAUUGGUGUUCCUCCAGGCAAGCUCUUCAAUUUCAGAUACUCCUCAAUAGUUAUAGUUGACCUGAUAUUGAUAAAUGUUGUAGACAUUCACACUUAGGGUUUUUAAUCAAAUAUCAUUACUUUCUAUCCCCAAAAAAUUUGCAUAACAUAUUAACAUAUCGACAUCAUGCAAGGUAUUUCCAGGUGUGGAAUCCCGACUAGCAACACUGACGCAUGAUAUGGAAGAUCUCAAAUGCCUGUCAAAUAUCGGCAAUAGACCUGACUUAUCGUCAAGUUUCGAGCCAGAGAACCCGUCUCAGCUAGUGACAGUGCUUCCAACUAGAGUGUUAGCCCCUUAUUCUGCAACUCUUGCGGGUGGUAUUCACUAGGUAGUCCAUCCGCAUAUACCAAAUUCCCUACAGCAAAAAGGUGAAAAAGGAAGUGACCCGAAUUAGAGAGGUAUUGUUUUUAAAAGCCAGACUUAGAGAACAGAUCAAACCCAGUUGCACUAAUGACAGUACUGGUAGCAGUUGUGAAAGCAGUGAGACUUCCAAAGAUAAUCUUGAAACUACGAUUAAGGUUGACAGAAUGUUCAGUAGCCCAUAAGUUCUCGAUGCAUUCUCAGGUGUGGUAGAGAUUACAGGAAUGUGGUUGUACCCAAUAGGAAGUUCGAUUGCGGUUUAGAAGGUUCAAUUCAACAGAUGGAUCCAUCAUCAGUUUUGGUGGAUUUACAGUUCAGAAUAAGGUGGUUGUUCAGAUGGAUCGCUUGAGUUCUCGCAGAAUGUUAGGGGGUAUUAACAGUAGCAACAGGUGAUAUCUUUUUCUCAUUUGAUUCCAGUGUCUUGUCCAACUCUGUAUCAUCAGCUUUACAAGAUAAUCUUGAAGCAAAAUCUCCCUCCAAAAGUAGCAUUCUUCUUCAGGUGUGUCAUAUCCAGAUUGAAAGAGGUCUAAACGUUGAGGGGCCAAGUGCGUUAUAUCUGAGAUGAGAUGGUGACCUUGGACCAUGUUUUCCAUCAUUGCUCCCUUGCUAAAUCUGUUUGGAGCUACUUUGUGUAGGAGGUAAAUUGGGAGCUUGCCAUGACUAAAGAUCUGUCUUGCUGGUCCAGAAAAGACUUCGACAAAUAUUACAAUAAGAUUUAGUUUAUUGUGUUGGCGGUGAUCAUUUGGAGAGUGUGGUUGGGAAACUCAAGUUCUUCGCCCUGACAAGGCAAAAUUCCUCCUUUUAAGCUUGACUUUGGUGUUUAAGAAUUUUGAAAAUGUUUGUCUUUUAGCAAUGUAAGUAGGGCCUGGAAAGAAAUGUAAGUAAUCAUAGGAAAAAAUAAUCCAUGAGGACCACAGUCCACACAUCAUCACCGGAAGGUCGAUUGAGUUGGUUAUUUGUAAAGUAUAAUAUGCCUUUAAAGUUGCUUAUGCGCUGGUAAUG
Molecule: long non-coding RNA, 4304 nt
Organism: Papaver somniferum (opium poppy)
Lineage: Eukaryota; Viridiplantae; Streptophyta; Magnoliopsida; Ranunculales; Papaveraceae
Exons: 10
Source: RefSeq, a predicted model, not a curated record